UGGGGAAUAUUGCACAAUGGGGGAAACCCUGAUGCAGCGACGCCGCGUGAACGAAGAAGGUAUUCGUAUCGUAAAGUUCUGUCCUAUGGGAAGAUAAUGACAGUUCCAUAGAAGAAAGCUCCGGCUAAAUACGUGCCAGCAGCCGCGGUAAUACGUAUGGAGCGAGCGUUGUCCGGAAUUAUUGGGCGUAAAGGGUACGCAGGCGGUUUAAUAAGUCGAAUGUUAAAGAUCGGGGCUCAACCCCGUAAAGCAUUGGAAACUGAUAAACUUGAGUAGUGGAGAGGAAAGUGGAAUUCCUAGUGUAGUGGUGAAAUACGUAGAUAUUAGGAGGAAUACCAGUAGCGAAGGCGACUUUCUGGACACAAACUGACGCUGAGGUACGAAAGCGUGGGGAGCAAACGGG
This 403-nucleotide ribosomal RNA is filed under the name bacterium. RNAcentral's name for it is "partial 16S ribosomal RNA". It matches the Rfam family "Bacterial small subunit ribosomal RNA", at positions 355 to 776 of the family's 1533-position model. The record is from RNAcentral.